AGGCUUAACACAUGCAAGUCGAGGGGCAUCGGGCCGUAAGCUUGCUUUCUUUGCCGGCGACCGGCGCACGGGUGAGUAACACGUAUCCAACCUGCCCUUUACUCGGGGAUAGCCUUUCGAAAGAAAGAUUAAUACCCGAUGGCAUAAUGAUUCCGCAUGGUUUCAUUAUUAAAGGAUUCCGGUAAAGGAUGGGGAUGCGUUCCAUUAGGUUGUUGGUGAGGUAACGGCUCACCAAGCCUUCGAUGGAUAGGGGUUCUGAGAGGAAGGUCCCCCACAUUGGAACUGAGACACGGUCCAAACUCCUACGGGAGGCAGCAGUGAGGAAUAUUGGUCAAUGGGCGGUAGCCUGAACCAGCCAAGUAGCGUGAAGGAUGAAGGCUCUAUGGGUCGUAAACUUCUUUUAUAUAAGAAUAAAGUGCAGUAUGUAUACUGUUUUGUAUGUAUUAUAUGAAUAAGGAUCGGCUAACUCCGUGCCAGCAGCCGCGGUAAUACGGAGGAUCCGAGCGUUAUCCGGAUUUAUUGGGUUUAAAGGGAGCGUAGGUGGACUGGUAAGUCAGUUGUGAAAGUUUGCGGCUCAACCGUAAAAUUGCAGUUGAUACUGUCAGUCUUGAGUACAGUAGAGGUGGGCGGAAUUCGUGGUGUAGCGGUGAAAUGCUUAGAUAUCACGAAGAACUCCGAUUGCGAAGGCAGCUCACUGGACUGCAACUGACACUGAUGCUCGAAAGUGUGGGUAUCAAACAGGAUUAGAUACCCUGGUAGUCCACACAGUAAACGAUGAAUACUCGCUGUUUGCGAUAUACAGUAAGCGGCCAAGCGAAAGCAUUAAGUAUUCCACCUGGGGAGUACGCCGGCAACGGUGAAACUCAAAGGAAUUGACGGGGGCCCGCACAAGCGGAGGAACAUGUGGUUUAAUUCGAUGAUACGCGAGGAACCUUACCCGGGCUUAAAUUGCAGUGGAAUGAUGUGGAAACAUGUCAGUGAGCAAUCACCGCUGUGAAGGUGCUGCAUGGUUGUCGUCAGCUCGUGCCGUGAGGUGUCGGCUUAAGUGCCAUAACGAGCGCAACCCUUAUCUUCAGUUACUAACAGGUCAUGCUGAGGACUCUGGAGAGACUGCCGUCGUAAGAUGUGAGGAAGGUGGGGAUGACGUCAAAUCAGCACGGCCCUUACGUCCGGGGCUACACACGUGUUACAAUGGGGGGUACAGAAGGCAGCUAGCGGGUGACCGUAUGCUAAUCCCAAAAUCCUCUCUCAGUUCGGAUCGAAGUCUGCAACCCGACUUCGUGAAGCUGGAUUCGCUAGUAAUCGCGCAUCAGCCACGGCGCGGUGAAUACGUUCCCGGGCCUUGUACACACCGCCCGUCAAGCCAUGGGAGCCGGGGGUACCUGAAGUACGUAACAACAAGGAUCGUCCUAGGGUAAAACUGGUGACUGGGGC
RNAcentral lists this ribosomal RNA (1434 nucleotides) under uncultured organism. RNAcentral's name for it is "SSU rRNA". It matches the Rfam family "Bacterial small subunit ribosomal RNA". The record is from RNAcentral.